RNAcentral lists this microRNA precursor (104 nucleotides) under Paramuricea clavata. Lineage: Eukaryota; Metazoa; Cnidaria; Anthozoa; Malacalcyonacea; Plexauridae. The record is from RNAcentral.
GACUUCAAUGAUUUGGAUUAUUGCACUUCACUUGGUGGAAUUAACCCUAACAUUCUAAUAUUAAUUCCACCAAGUGAAGUGCAAUAAUCCAAAUCGUUGAAGUC